Molecule: non-coding RNA, 207 nt
Filed under: Clostridium sp.
Lineage: Bacteria; Bacillati; Bacillota; Clostridia; Eubacteriales; Clostridiaceae
Description: T-box sequence
Rfam family: T-box leader
About the family: Uncharged tRNA acts as the effector for transcription antitermination of genes in the T-box leader family. T-boxes are found upstream of many aminoacyl-tRNA synthetase genes and some amino acid biosynthetic genes usually in Gram-positive bacteria. The anticodon of a specific tRNA base pairs to a specifier sequence within the T-box motif, and the NCCA acceptor tail of the tRNA base pairs to a conserved bulge in the T-box antiterminator hairpin.
Source: RNAcentral
UUAAAGGCUUUGAACAGGAGUAGUAGUAAUUUUAUUACUUUUAGCGAGCUGUUGUGUGGUGUAAAACAGUAGUAAUGAAUUAUGAACUCGCCUUGGGAGCUUAUCUGUAGAAAAACAGAUACGGUUAUUCCGUUAAAAUUUUAAGAGAAAGCUAAUCCUUAGCUUUAAAUAGAGUGGUACCGCGGAGUUUAAACCUUCGUCUCUUUU